Molecule: non-coding RNA, 23 nt
Filed under: Mus musculus (house mouse)
Lineage: Eukaryota; Metazoa; Chordata; Mammalia; Rodentia; Muridae
Source: RNAcentral
UAGAGGUGAGCAUGAGGGGGAUG